GACGAACGCUGGCGGCGUGCUUAACACAUGCAAGUCGAGCGACGGCAUCUCUUCGGGGGUGUACGGAGCGGCGAACGGGUGAGUAACACGUGAGCAACCUGCCCUUGGCUUUGGGAUAACCCUCGGAAACGGGGGCUAAUACCGGAUAUCCACGCGUGGCCGCAUGGUGGUGUGUGGAAAGUUUUUCGGCUGAGGAUGGGCUCGCGGCCUAUCAGCUUGUUGGUGGGGUGAUGGCCUACCAAGGCGACGACGGGUAGCCGGCCUGAGAGGGCGACCGGCCACACUGGGACUGAGACACGGCCCAGACUCCUACGGGAGGCAGCAGUGGGGAAUAUUGCACAAUGGGCGAAAGCCUGAUGCAGCGACGCCGCGUGAGGGAUGAAGGCCUUCGGGUUGUAAACCUCUUUCGGCAGGGACGAAGGGUGACUGACGGUACCUGCAGAAGAAGCGCCGGCCAACUACGUGCCAGCAGCCGCCGUAAAAC
Molecule: ribosomal RNA, 484 nt
Filed under: uncultured bacterium
Lineage: Bacteria
Description: bacterial SSU rRNA
Rfam family: Bacterial small subunit ribosomal RNA
Source: RNAcentral